Molecule: ribosomal RNA, 469 nt
Filed under: uncultured bacterium
Lineage: Bacteria
Description: partial 16S ribosomal RNA
Rfam family: Bacterial small subunit ribosomal RNA
Source: RNAcentral
UAGGGAAUCUUCCACAAUGGACGCAAGUCUGAUGGAGCAACGCCGCGUGAGUGAAGAAGGUCUUCGGAUCGUAAAGCUCUGUUGUUGGUGAAGAAGGAUAGAGGCAGUAACUGGUCUUUAUUUGACGGUAAUCAACCAGAAAGUCACGGCUAACUACGUGCCAGCAGCCGCGGUAAUACGUAGGUGGCAAGCGUUGUCCGGAUUUAUUGGGCGUAAAGCGAGCGCAGGCGGAAUGAUAAGUCUGAUGUGAAAGCCCACGGCUCAACCGUGGAACUGCAUCGGAAACUGUCAUUCUUGAGUGCAGAAGAGGAGAGUGGAACUCCACGUGUAGCGGUGGAAUGCGUAGAUAUAUGGAAGAACACCAGUGGCGAAGGCGGCUCUCUGGUCUGCAACUGACGCUGAGGCUCGAAAGCAUGGGUAGCGAACAGGAUUAGAUACCCUUGGUAGUCCAUGCCGUAAACGAUGAGCG